UACGUAGGUGGCAAGCGUUGUCCGGAUUUAUUGGGUUUAAAGGGUGCGUAGGCGGCUUUAUAAGUCAGUGCUGAAAUAUCCCGGCUUAACCGGGAGGGUGGCAUUGAUACCGCAGAGCUUGAGUGAAGUCGAGGUAGGCGGAAUUGACGGUGUAGCGGUGAAAUGCUUAGAUAUCGUCAAGAACACCGAUAGUGAAGACAGCUUACUAGACUUCAACUGACGCUGAGGCACGAAAGUGUGGGGAUCAAACAGG
Molecule: ribosomal RNA, 253 nt
Filed under: uncultured bacterium
Lineage: Bacteria
Description: partial 16S ribosomal RNA
Rfam family: Bacterial small subunit ribosomal RNA
Source: RNAcentral